GAGAGUUUGAUCAUGGCUCAGAUUGAACGCUGGCGGCAGGCCUAACACAUGCAAGUCGAGCGGUAACAGGACUAGCUUGCUAGUUGCUGACGAGCGGCGGACGGGUGAGUAACGCGUAGGAAUCUACCAAGUAGUGGGGGAUAAGCCAGAGAAAUUUGGUCUAAUACCGCAUACGUUCUUCGGAAGAAAGGAGGGGAUCUUCGGACCUUUCGCUAUUUGAUGAGCCUGCGUGAGAUUAGCUUGUUGGUGAGGUAAGAGCUCACCAAGGCGACGAUCUCUAGCUGGUCUGAGAGGAUGAUCAGCCACACUGGGACUGAGACACGGCCCAGACUCCUACGGGAGGCAGCAGUGGGGAAUAUUGCACAAUGGGCGCAAGCCUGAUGCAGCCAUGCCGCGUGUGUGAAGAAGGCCCUAGGGUUGUAAAGCACUUUCAGCAGUGAGGAAAGGUGUGUGGUUAAUACCCGCAUACUGUGACGUUAACUGCAGAAGAAGCACCGGCUAACUCCGUGCCAGCAGCCG
RNAcentral lists this ribosomal RNA (519 nucleotides) under uncultured bacterium. RNAcentral describes it as "bacterial SSU rRNA". It matches the Rfam family "Bacterial small subunit ribosomal RNA", at positions 7 to 517 of the family's 1533-position model. The record is from RNAcentral.